RNAcentral lists this long non-coding RNA (924 nucleotides) under Homo sapiens (human). Its description in RNAcentral is "HSALNT0342807". Lineage: Eukaryota; Metazoa; Chordata; Mammalia; Primates; Hominidae. The record is from RNAcentral.
AGAGAAAGAGAGAGUCUUUGGAGAGUUGUGAGGAGAUAAGUGACAUAAACUGGCAUGUUCUGAAAGAAUCACUCUGGAUGCUGUGUGGAGAAAACACUGAAAAGGGGGAGAAUAAUUGACUCCAUUCAAGUGUUCGCUCCUGUUUCAAUCAACUAUGGCUGAAGAGUGAGGAGACAUUUGGAAUAAAUAUGGCUUCUGGGGGCCCAUUCCUAUGGAUCAGCAGCUGGCUUCUGGAGGCCCAUUCCUGUGAAUCGUCGAUCUCAUAGAAGAUAAUAUUGUUAGAAGGCUUACCUCAUUGAUGCUGAACAUCCUAAAAAGCUUCUGCUGCUUUGAGUCACUGAAAAAGACCAAGAAACAUGAAUUUAAAAAAAAAUUUCAAAUGUUAUAAAAUAAAUAAUAUGAACUCAUUAUACCUACAAUGAAUAAUUUAAAUUCUUCUUUGGUAGUCCAGCAUAGGUUUAGAAACUAUGAAAACCCUAGAAGAAAACCUAGGCAAUGCCAUUCAGGACAUAGGCACGGACAAAGAUUUCAUGACGAAGACGCCAAAAACAACUGCAACAAAAGCAAAAAUUGACAGAUGGGAUCUCAUUAAACUAAAGAGCUUCCAUACAGCAAAAGAAGCUACCAUGAGAGUGAACAGACAACCUAUAGAAAGGGAGAAAAAUUUUGCAAUCUGUUCAUCUGACAAAGGUCUAAUAUCCAGCAUCUACAAGGAACUUAAAUAAAUUUACAAGAAAAAAACAAACCCAUUAGAAAAUGGGCAAAGGACAUGAAAAGAUACUUCUCAAAAGACAUACAUGUGGCCAACAAUCAUACAAAAAAAACCUCAACAUCACUGAUGAUUAGAAAAAUGCUAAUCAAAACCACAACGAGAUACCAUCUCAUACCUGUCAGAAUGGCUAUUAAUAAAAAGUUAAAAAACAA